CCACCGCAUGGUGGGUUGUUGAAAGAUUUAUCGGUGGGGGAUGGACUCGCGGCCUAUCAGCUUGUUGGUGAGGUAAUGGCUCACCAAGGCGACGACGGGUAGCCGGCCUGAGAGGGUGACCGGCCACACUGGGACUGAGACACGGCCCAGACUCCUACGGGAGGCAGCAGUGGGGAAUAUUGCACAAUGGGCGGAAGCCUGAUGCAGCGACGCCGCGUGAGGGAUGACGGCCUUCGGGUUGUAAACCUCUUUCAGUAGGGAAGAAGCGAAAGUGACGGUACCUGCAGAAGAAGCGCCGGCUAACUACGUGCCAGCAGCCGCGGUAAUACGUAGGGCGCAAGCGUUAUCCGGAUUUAUUGGGCGUAAAGAGCUCGUAGGCGGUUUGUCGCGUCUGCCGUGAAAGUCCGAGGCUCAACCUCGGAUCUGCGGUGGGUACGGGCAGACUAGAGUGAUGUAGGGGAGACUGGAAUUCCUGGUGUAGCGGUGAAAUGCGCAGAUAUCAGGAGGAACACCGAUGGCGAAGGCAGGUCUCUGGGCAUUUACUGACGCUGAGGAGCGAAAGCAUGGGGAGCGAACAGGAUUAGAUACCCUGGUAGUCCAUGCCGUAAACGUUGGGCACUAGGUGUGGGGGACAUUCCACGUUUUCCGCGCCGUAGCUAACGC
This 663-nucleotide ribosomal RNA is filed under the name bacterium 4 OU-2010. Its description in RNAcentral is "bacterial SSU rRNA". It matches the Rfam family "Bacterial small subunit ribosomal RNA", at positions 183 to 858 of the family's 1533-position model. The record is from RNAcentral.